RNAcentral lists this ribosomal RNA (253 nucleotides) under uncultured bacterium. RNAcentral describes it as "partial 16S ribosomal RNA". It matches the Rfam family "Bacterial small subunit ribosomal RNA", at positions 524 to 776 of the family's 1533-position model. The record is from RNAcentral.
UACGGGGGGGGCAAGCGUUGUUCGGAAUUACUGGGCGUAAAGGGCUCGUAGGUGGCCAACUCAGUCGGACGUGAAAUCCCUCGGCUUAACCGGGGAACUGCGUCCGAUACUGGAUGGCUUGAGAUCGGGAGAGGGAUGCGGAAUUCCAGGUGUAGCGGUGAAAUGCGUAGAUAUCUGGAGGAACACCGGUGGCGAAGGCGGCAUCCUGGACCGGUAUUGACGCUGAGGCGCGAAAGCUAGGGGAGCAAACGGG